GGGUUGUGAGGUUAAGCGACUAAGCGUACACGGUGGAUGCCCUGGCAGUCAGAGGCGAUGAAGGACGUGCUAAUCUGCGAUAAGCGUCGGUAAGGUGAUAUGAACCGUUAUAACCGGCGAUUUCCGAAUGGGGAAACCCAGUGUGAUUCGUCACACUAUCAUUAACUGAAUCCAUAGGUUAAUGAGGCGAACCGGGGGAACUGAAACAUCUAAGUACCCCGAGGAAAAGAAAUCAACCGAGAUUCCCCCAGUAGCGGCGAGCGAACGGGGAGGAGCCCAGAGCCUGAAUCAGUGUGUGUGUUAGUGGAAGCGUCUGGAAAGGCGCGCGAUACAGGGUGACAGCCCCGUACACAAAAAUGCACAUGCUGUGAGCUCGAUGAGUAGGGCGGGACACGUGGUAUCCUGUCUGAAUAUGGGGGGACCAUCCUCCAAGGCUAAAUACUCCUGACUGACCGAUAGUGAACCAGUACCGUGAGGGAAAGGCGAAAAGAACCCCGGCGAGGGGAGUGAAAAAGAACCUGAAACCGUGUACGUACAAGCAGUGGGAGCACAGAGCAAUCUGUGUGACUGCGUACCUUUUGUAUAAUGGGUCAGCGACUUAUAUUCUGUAGCAAGGUUAACCGAAUAGGGGAGCCGAAGGGAAACCGAGUCUUAACUGGGCGUUAAGUUGCAGGGUAUAGACCCGAAACCCGGUGAUCUAGCCAUGGGCAGGUUGAAGGUUGGGUAACACUAACUGGAGGACCGAACCGACUAAUGUUGAAAAAUUAGCGGAUGACUUGUGGCUGGGGGUGAAAGGCCAAUCAAACCGGGAGAUAGCUGGUUCUCCCCGAAAGCUAUUUAGGUAGCGCCUCGUGAAUUCAUCUCCGGGGGUAGAGCACUGUUUCGGCAAGGGGGUCAUCCCGACUUACCAACCCGAUGCAAACUGCGAAUACCGGAGAAUGUUAUCACGGGAGACACACGGCGGGUGCUAACGUCCGUCGUGAAGAGGGAAACAACCCAGACCGCCAGCUAAGGUCCCAAAGUCAUGGUUAAGUGGGAAACGAUGUGGGAAGGCCCAGACAGCCAGGAUGUUGGCUUAGAAGCAGCCAUCAUUUAAAGAAAGCGUAAUAGCUCACUGGUCGAGUCGGCCUGCGCGGAAGAUGUAACGGGGCUAAACCAUGCACCGAAGCUGCGGCAGCGACGCUGAUGCGUUGUUGGGUAGGGGAGCGUUCUGUAAGCCUGUGAAGGUGUGCUGUGAGGCAUGCUGGAGGUAUCAGAAGUGCGAAUGCUGACAUAAGUAACGAUAAAGCGGGUGAAAAGCCCGCUCGCCGGAAGACCAAGGGUUCCUGUCCAACGUUAAUCGGGGCAGGGUGAGUCGACCCCUAAGGCGAGGCCGAAAGGCGUAGUCGAUGGGAAACAGGUUAAUAUUCCUGUACUUGGUGUUACUGCGAAGGGGGGACGGAGAAGGCUAUGUUGGCCGGGCGACGGUUGUCCCGGUUUAAGCGUGUAGGCUGGUUUUCCAGGCAAAUCCGGAAAACUAAGGCUGAGGCGUGAUGACGAGGCACUACGGUGCUGAAGCAACAAAUGCCCUGCUUCCAGGAAAAGCCUCUAAGCAUCAGGUAACAUCAAAUCGUACCCCAAACCGACACAGGUGGUCAGGUAGAGAAUACCAAGGCGCUUGAGAGAACUCGGGUGAAGGAACUAGGCAAAAUGGUGCCGUAACUUCGGGAGAAGGCACGCUGAUAUGUAGGUGAAGUCCCUCGCGGAUGGAGCUGAAAUCAGUCGAAGAUACCAGCUGGCUGCAACUGUUUAUUAAAAACACAGCACUGUGCAAACACGAAAGUGGACGUAUACGGUGUGACGCCUGCCCGGUGCCGGAAGGUUAAUUGAUGGGGUCAGCGCAAGCGAAGCUCUUGAUCGAAGCCCCGGUAAACGGCGGCCGUAACUAUAACGGUCCUAAGGUAGCGAAAUUCCUUGUCGGGUAAGUUCCGACCUGCACGAAUGGCGUAAUGAUGGCCAGGCUGUCUCCACCCGAGACUCAGUGAAAUUGAACUCGCUGUGAAGAUGCAGUGUACCCGCGGCAAGACGGAAAGACCCCGUGAACCUUUACUAUAGCUUGACACUGAACAUUGAGCCUUGAUGUGUAGGAUAGGUGGGAGGCUUUGAAGUGUGGACGCCAGUCUGCAUGGAGCCGACCUUGAAAUACCACCCUUUAAUGUUUGAUGUUCUAACGUUGACCCGUAAUCCGGGUUGCGGACAGUGUCUGGUGGGUAGUUUGACUGGGGCGGUCUCCUCCUAAAGAGUAACGGAGGAGCACGAAGGUUGGCUAAUCCUGGUCGGACAUCAGGAGGUUAGUGCAAUGGCAUAAGCCAGCUUGACUGCGAGCGUGACGGCGCGAGCAGGUGCGAAAGCAGGUCAUAGUGAUCCGGUGGUUCUGAAUGGAAGGGCCAUCGCUCAACGGAUAAAAGGUACUCCGGGGAUAACAGGCUGAUACCGCCCAAGAGUUCAUAUCGACGGCGGUGUUUGGCACCUCGAUGUCGGCUCAUCACAUCCUGGGGCUGAAGUAGGUCCCAAGGGUAUGGCUGUUCGCCAUUUAAAGUGGUACGCGAGCUGGGUUUAGAACGUCGUGAGACAGUUCGGUCCCUAUCUGCCGUGGGCGCUGGAGAACUGAGGGGGGCUGCUCCUAGUACGAGAGGACCGGAGUGGACGCAUCACUGGUGUUCGGGUUGUCAUGCCAAUGGCACUGCCCGGUAGCUAAAUGCGGAAGAGAUAAGUGCUGAAAGCAUCUAAGCACGAAACUUGCCCCGAGAUGAGUUCUCCCUGACUCCUUGAGAGUCCUGAAGGAACGUUGAAGACGACGACGUUGAUAGGCCGGGUGUGUAAGCGCAGCGAUGCGUUGAGCUAACCGGUACUAAUGAACCGUGAGGCUUAACCUUACAACGCCGAAGGUGUUU
Molecule: ribosomal RNA, 2933 nt
Filed under: Escherichia coli O111:NM str. 2011C-3632
Lineage: Bacteria; Pseudomonadati; Pseudomonadota; Gammaproteobacteria; Enterobacterales; Enterobacteriaceae
Also listed under: 1 other name
Description: bacterial LSU rRNA
Rfam family: Bacterial large subunit ribosomal RNA
Source: RNAcentral